RNAcentral lists this ribosomal RNA (744 nucleotides) under Streptomyces sp. RNAcentral describes it as "bacterial SSU rRNA". It matches the Rfam family "Bacterial small subunit ribosomal RNA", at positions 100 to 855 of the family's 1533-position model. Lineage: Bacteria; Bacillati; Actinomycetota; Actinomycetes; Kitasatosporales; Streptomycetaceae. The record is from RNAcentral.
GAACGGGUGAGUAACACGUGGGCAAUCUGCCCUGCACUCUGGGACAAGCCCUGGAAACGGGGUCUAAUACCGGAUACUCACUGCCUUGGGCAUCCAAGGUGGUGGAAAGCUCCGGCGGUGCAGGAUGAGCCCGCGGCCUAUCAGCUAGUUGGUGAGGUAAUGGCUCACCAAGGCGACGACGGGUAGCCGGCCUGAGAGGGCGACCGGCCACACUGGGACUGAGACACGGCCCAGACUCCUACGGGAGGCAGCAGUGGGGAAUAUUGCACAAUGGGCGAAAGCCUGAUGCAGCGACGCCGCGUGAGGGAUGACGGCCUUCGGGUUGUAAACCUCUUUCAGCAGGGAAGAAGCGAGAGUGACGGUACCUGCAGAAGAAGCGCCGGCUAACUACGUGCCAGCAGCCGCGGUAAUACGUAGGGCGCAAGCGUUGUCCGGAAUUAUUGGGCGUAAAGAGCUCGUAGGCGGCUUGUCACGUCGGUUGUGAAAGCCCGGGGCUUAACCCCGGGUCUGCAGUCGAUACGGGCAGGCUAGAGUUCGGUAGGGGAGAUCGGAAUUCCUGGUGUAGCGGUGAAAUGCGCAGAUAUCAGGAGGAACACCGGUGGCGAAGGCGGAUCUCUGGGCCGAUACUGACGCUGAGGAGCGAAAGCGUGGGGAGCGAACAGGAUUAGAUACCCUGGUAGUCCACGCCGUAAACGGUGGGCACUAGGUGUGGGCAACAUUCCACGUUGUCCGUGCCGCAGCUAA